Molecule: long non-coding RNA, 461 nt
Filed under: Capsicum annuum
Lineage: Eukaryota; Viridiplantae; Streptophyta; Magnoliopsida; Solanales; Solanaceae
Description: long non-coding RNA (CANN_LNC003190)
Source: RNAcentral
GUGAAGAUAAAGGUCUAAGGGGGGGACCAAUAUAGAAAAUCACGUUUCCCAGCGUAGGGGUCUAUAUGUGUCACAAUAUGAACCAGGGCCUAGUUUUGACGGGUAUAUCAAGCCCAUCAUGGGAUGGAGACCACCCAUUUAUCUAACCUAUAUAAGCACAAUAAAGAUAAUAAGCAACCCAAAUGAAUGAGAAUAAAUAGAUACUCAAAUGGAAACUAAGAUUCAAAAUAGUAACCAACCCAAGCUUGUCCAAAAAAGCCUCUACACUACAAAAAUACCAUAUUAAGUUGGGACAUGCCCCUGACUAUAGCCAAAGAAAUCCAAAAUGACAUUUUAAGACUUAAUGAAAGUAAGAUAAUAAAAUAAUUGGCCUUCCAAAGAAUGGAGGCUCACCACUUCACGGCUGACCAAUGAAUGAACCCAACCACCUAAUACUGCAUAGGAGUAACAGAAAACCCUUU